Molecule: long non-coding RNA, 444 nt
Filed under: Gallus gallus (chicken)
Lineage: Eukaryota; Metazoa; Chordata; Aves; Galliformes; Phasianidae
Description: long non-coding RNA NONGGAT007256
Source: RNAcentral
AUCAGCUGGAAAGCACGAGAAAUACAUGGACUCACCAUGGGGAGAUACACGUUCCUGAGAUCUCACUUUGUAUCUGAUGUCUGCUUGACACUAAACUGUUGCUAUGCUGAUUCCACUCCAUUUGGCUGUUCAUUGCGAUGAAUAUAUGGGGGCUGUAUUUCCAAAUGUCCUGGGCACCCACAGCACUAAGAUCUGACCACCAGCUAGAUCCACCAGGCCUUGGAGUCCCUUGUAAAGCCUCUUCAACAUCUGACCAUUCCCUGCCUCUGCUUACUUGUCCACUUGAACCAGUUAUCUACGGGAGUCCUUAAUGUACCGGGAUGACCUAAAAAAGUGAUACUGCAAAACAAGAAAAUGGAAGUGUGCAACUCUCAAUGAGGACAGCUGGCAUCCCUCCUUUUCCCAUGAAAUGAGGCACACCUGGUAAAAGUGUUGCGCAUUCUG